Molecule: ribosomal RNA, 254 nt
Filed under: uncultured bacterium
Lineage: Bacteria
Description: partial 16S ribosomal RNA
Rfam family: Bacterial small subunit ribosomal RNA
Source: RNAcentral
UACGGGGGGAGCAAGCGUUGUUCGGAUUUACUGGGCGUAAAGGGCGCGUAGGCGGUCGUGACAAGUCACUUGUGAAAUCUCCGGGCUUAACUCGGAACGGUCAAGUGAUACUGUCGGACUAGAGUACAGAAGGGGCAACUGGAAUUCUCGGUGUAGCGGUGAAAUGCGUAGAUAUCGAGAGGAACACCUGCGGCGAAGGCGCUCUGCUAGGCCGCAACUGACACUGAGGGACGAAAGCUAGGGGAGCGAAUGGG